RNAcentral lists this ribosomal RNA (736 nucleotides) under Alteromonadales bacterium HOT1E7. Its description in RNAcentral is "bacterial SSU rRNA". It matches the Rfam family "Bacterial small subunit ribosomal RNA", at positions 90 to 828 of the family's 1533-position model. Lineage: Bacteria; Pseudomonadati; Pseudomonadota; Gammaproteobacteria; Alteromonadales. The record is from RNAcentral. RNAcentral also lists the same sequence under 1 other name.
GACGAGUGGCGGACGGGUGAGUAAUGCUUGGGAACUUGCCUUUGCGAGGGGGAUAACAGUUGGAAACGACUGCUAAUACCGCAUAAUGUCUUCGGACCAAACGGGGCUUCGGCUCCGGCGCAAAGAGAGGCCCAAGUGAGAUUAGCUAGUUGGUAAGGUAACGGCUUACCAAGGCGACGAUCUCUAGCUGUUCUGAGAGGAAGAUCAGCCACACUGGGACUGAGACACGGCCCAGACUCCUACGGGAGGCAGCAGUGGGGAAUAUUGCACAAUGGGGGAAACCCUGAUGCAGCCAUGCCGCGUGUGUGAAGAAGGCCUUCGGGUUGUAAAGCACUUUCAGUUGUGAGGAAAAGUUAGUAGUUAAUACCUGCUAGCCGUGACGUUAACAACAGAAGAAGCACCGGCUAACUCCGUGCCAGCAGCCGCGGUAAUACGGAGGGUGCGAGCGUUAAUCGGAAUUACUGGGCGUAAAGCGCACGCAGGCGGUUUGUUAAGCUAGAUGUGAAAGCCCCGGGCUCAACCUGGGAUGGUCAUUUAGAACUGGCAGACUAGAGUCUUGGAGAGGGGAGUGGAAUUCCAGGUGUAGCGGUGAAAUGCGUAGAUAUCUGGAGGAACAUCAGUGGCGAAGGCGACUCNCUGGCCAAAGACUGACGCUCAUGUGCGAAAGUGUGGGUAGCGAACAGGAUUAGAUACCCUGGUAGUCCACACCGUAAACGCUGUCUACUAGCUGUGUGUG